UACGUAGGGGGCAAGCGUUGUCCGGAUUUAUUGGGCGUAAAGAGCGUGUAGGCGGCUAGGUAGGUCCGUUGUGAAAACUCGAGGCUCAACCUCGAGACGCCGGUGGAAACCAUCUAGCUAGAGUCCGGAAGAGGAGAGUGGAAUUCCUGGUGUAGCGGUGAAAUGCGCAGAUAUCAGGAAGAACACCCGUGGCGAAGGCGGCUCUCUGGUACGUGACUGACGCUGAGACGCGAAAGCGUGGGGAGCGAACCGG
RNAcentral lists this ribosomal RNA (253 nucleotides) under uncultured bacterium. RNAcentral's name for it is "partial 16S ribosomal RNA". It matches the Rfam family "Bacterial small subunit ribosomal RNA", at positions 524 to 776 of the family's 1533-position model. The record is from RNAcentral.